RNAcentral lists this ribosomal RNA (446 nucleotides) under uncultured bacterium. Its description in RNAcentral is "partial 16S ribosomal RNA". It matches the Rfam family "Bacterial small subunit ribosomal RNA", at positions 338 to 795 of the family's 1533-position model. The record is from RNAcentral.
CCUACGGGGGACAGCAGUCGAGAAUCAUUCACAAUGGGGGAAACCCUGAUGGUGCGACGCCGCGUGGGGGAAUGAAGGUCUUCGGAUUGUAAACCCCUGUCAUGUGGGAGCAAAUUAAAAAGAUAGUACCACAAGAGGAAGAGACGGCUAACUCUGUGCCAGCAGCCGCGGUAAUACAGAGGUCUCAAGCGUUGUUCGGAAUCACUGGGCGUAAAGCGUGCGUAGGCUGUUUCGUAAGUCGUGUGUGAAAGGCGCGGGCUCAACCCGCGGACGGCACAUGAUACUGCGAGACUAGAGUAAGGGAGGGGGAACCGGAAUUCUCGGUGUAGCAGUGAAAUGCGUAGAUAUCGAGAGGAACACUCGUGGCGAAGGCGGGUUCCUGGACAUUAACUGACGCUGAGGCACGAAGGCCAGGGGAGCGAAAGGGAUUAGAUACCCUGGUAGUC